This 1028-nucleotide long non-coding RNA is filed under the name Sinocyclocheilus grahami. RNAcentral's name for it is "lncRNA (ENSSGRG00000035342.1)". Lineage: Eukaryota; Metazoa; Chordata; Actinopteri; Cypriniformes; Cyprinidae. The record is from RNAcentral.
CGCACCCUACCUACGUCACUGUGGCGUGGUGCGUCGCGUUAGCCGUGUAGCGUCACUGUGGCGUGGUGCGUCGCGUUAGCCGUGUAGCGUCACUGUGGCGUGGUGCGUCGCGUUAGCCGCGUUAGCCGUGUAGCGGGGCUGGUGUAGCGGUGUCGGAGCACUCGCGAAAUAUCGACGCAGAUCGACAUUCAUGAGAGGAUUGUGUUAAUGCUCUGUGUUAUGUCUGUGAAGAGCCCAUCAGACCUGCUCAAUGAAAACACCUACAUCCCACCUUCACUGACCCUUGACCUCUGCUUAUCACAUGAAAGAAAUUUGGGCCUGACAGAUACUCGUGGGUCAAAUUCUUUCUCUCUAAAGAGUCAACAUAAUUACGGCAGCACAAGCUCCAUUCAGCCCCUCAAAGGCAUUAUGGGAGGACUAGAUGAUGAUGAUAUAUCCCUCCGGCACCAGGAAGAUGAAUGGAGCAGAAAUCAGGAGAAUGAGCACAGUCUUCCAGGCUCCGAGAGCAACGCCAAGUGGAUGAAGGAAGAUCAGAAUCAAAUAUGCAAGUUAGCAGAGCAGCAGCAGCAGCAAGACCAGAAUCUUAACCUGGUUGAAAACAAGAAUGAAACCACUGACAGAAACCCAAACCAGAACUCACAGCAGCGCCAUGAAGAGAAGAACAAGACCCUGAAAGCGCUCUGCUCUGACCACAGUUGGGCAGCUGAUGAACCUCUUCUGAUUUACACUCUGAUGGAGAAGAAUCAAGAAAACCAAGAGGAGACAAGAGAAGAGGAAGAGGAAAAUGUAAAUCCCACUAGAGGCGAGAACACCAGUUCAUCUGAGAUUCAGAAGAUAGGAGGUGAAGGUGGUAGCAGAAAUGCUUGUUUGCUGUUCAGUAAGCACGGCAUUCCCAGUGAUGAGGACUCCAGCUGCAUGUCGCUGUCACAGGGAAGCACUGCAAGCAGCACCCCAGAUGGAGAGCCAGGUGAGUCAUGCAACAUGACAGAUGAUCACAGAAAAAAAAUGGCAAGAGUGGUCUGUUAAAG